AGCUCAAAAUAAAAUUCCAACUAUUGUUCACGCCAAUCUAGUUGCCAAAACUGCUACAGUCAGGAUUCGAGACAUCACCCAAAUUAAUCCUCCCUAUUUUUAGGAUCUAAGUUUGAAGUGAAUAAACAGGAGUUCUUUGAUCAUGUUCAAAAAGUCUUAGAUAUUAUGGGAGUGACAUCCAGUGAGAGUGCUGAGUUAGCUACCUGUUAGCUACAAGAU
Molecule: long non-coding RNA, 219 nt
Filed under: Capsicum annuum
Lineage: Eukaryota; Viridiplantae; Streptophyta; Magnoliopsida; Solanales; Solanaceae
Description: long non-coding RNA (CANN_LNC001082)
Source: RNAcentral